This is a small nuclear RNA of Stegodyphus dumicola, 111 nucleotides long. NCBI's taxonomy places the organism in Eukaryota, Metazoa, Arthropoda, Arachnida, Araneae, Eresidae. The record is from RefSeq and is a predicted model, not a curated record.
AUAUGCUUCGGCAGUACUUAUACUAAAAUUGGAACGAUACAGAGAGAAUUAGCAUGGCCCGUGCGCAAGGCUGACACAUACUCACUUCCCACUACCAGUCUUAAAAUUCUU